CACGACCGUACCGCAAACCGACACUGGUGCGCGAGAUGAGUAUUCUAAGGCGCUUGAGAGAACUCAGGAGAAGGAACUCGGCAAAUUGACACCGUAACUUCGGAAGAAGGUGUGCCCUAUUAGUGUGAAGUGAACAACGGAGCAUGAAUGGGUUGCAAAAAAUCGGUGGCUGCGACUGUUUAUUAAAAACACAGCACUCUGCAAACACGAAAGUGGACGUAUAGGGUGUGACGCCUGCCCGGUGCUGGAAGAUUAAAUGAUGGGGUGCAAGCUCUUGAUUGAAGUCCCAGUAAACGGCGGCCGUAACGAUAACGGUCCUAAGGUAGCGAAAUUCCUUGUCGGGUAAGUUCCGACCUGCACGAAUGGCGUAACGAUGGCCACACUGUCUCCUCCUGAGACUCAGCGAAGUUGAAAUGUUUGUGAUGAUGCAAUCUACCCGCGGAAAGACGGAAAGACCCCAUGAACCUUUACUGUAGCUUUGUAUUGGACUUUGAACAGAUCUGUGUAGGAUAGGUGGGAGGCUUUGAAGCAGGGUCGCUAGAUCUUGUGGAGCCAACGUUGAAAUACCACCCUGGUGUGUUUGAGGUUCUAACCUAGGUCCAUUAUCUGGAUCGGGGACAGUGCAUGGUAGGCAGUUUGACUGGGGCGGUCUCCUCCCAAAGCGUAACGGAGGAGUUCGAAGGUACGCUAGUUACGGUCGGACAUCGUGACGAUAGUGCAAUGGCAUAAGCGUGCUUAACUGCGAGACUGACAAGUCGAGCAGAUGCGAAAGCAGGACAUAGUGAUCCGGUGGUUCUGUAUGGAAGGGCCAUCGCUCAACGGAUAAAAGGUACUCUGGGGAUAACAGGCUGAUACCGCCCAAGAGUUCAUAUCGACGGCGGUGUUUGGCACCUCGAUGUCGGCUCAUCUCAUCCUGGGGCUGUAGCCGGUCCCAAGGGUAUGGCUGUUCGCCAUUUAAAGAGGUACGUGAGCUGGGUUUAAAACGUCGUGAGACAGUUUGGUCCCUAUCUUCCGUGGGCGCUGCAGAUUUGAGGAAGCCUGCUCCUAGUACGAGAGGACCGGAGUGGACACACCUCUGGUGUAUCGGUUGUCACGCCAGUGGCAUUGCCGAGUAGCUAAGUGUGGAAGAGAUAACCGCUGAAAGCAUCUAAGCGGGAAACUCGUUUCAAGGUGAGAUCUGCCGGGGCCUUGAGCCCCCUGAAGAGUCGUUCAAGACCAGGACGUUGAUAGGUCAGGUGUGGAAGCUAAA
RNAcentral lists this ribosomal RNA (1249 nucleotides) under metagenome. RNAcentral describes it as "bacterial LSU rRNA". It matches the Rfam family "Bacterial large subunit ribosomal RNA", at positions 1637 to 2878 of the family's 2925-position model. The record is from RNAcentral.